This 226-nucleotide ribosomal RNA is filed under the name uncultured bacterium. Its description in RNAcentral is "partial 16S ribosomal RNA". It matches the Rfam family "Bacterial small subunit ribosomal RNA", at positions 116 to 334 of the family's 1533-position model. The record is from RNAcentral.
CGUGGGUAACCUGCCCAUCAGAGGGGGAUAACAUUCGGAAACGGAAUGCUAAAACCGCAUAGGUCUUCGAACCGCAUGGUUUGAAGAGGAAAAGAGGCGCAAGCUUCUGCUGAUGGAUGGACCCGCGGUGCAUUAGCUAGUUGGUGAGAUAACGGCUCACCAAGGCCGUGAUGCAUAGCCGACCUGAGAGGGUGAUCGGCCACAUUGGGACUGAGACACGGCCCAA